This 443-nucleotide ribosomal RNA is filed under the name Vibrio parahaemolyticus. RNAcentral's name for it is "bacterial SSU rRNA". It matches the Rfam family "Bacterial small subunit ribosomal RNA", at positions 819 to 1261 of the family's 1533-position model. The record is from RNAcentral. Lineage: Bacteria; Pseudomonadati; Pseudomonadota; Gammaproteobacteria; Vibrionales; Vibrionaceae.
GGAGGUUGUGGCCUUGAGCCGUGGCUUUCGGAGCUAACGCGUUAAGUAGACCGCCUGGGGAGUACGGUCGCAAGAUUAAAACUCAAAUGAAUUGACGGGGGCCCGCACAAGCGGUGGAGCAUGUGGUUUAAUUCGAUGCAACGCGAAGAACCUUACCUACUCUUGACAUCCAGAGAACUUUCCAGAGAUGGAUUGGUGCCUUCGGGAACUCUGAGACAGGUGCUGCAUGGCUGUCGUCAGCUCGUGUUGUGAAAUGUUGGGUUAAGUCCCGCAACGAGCGCAACCCUUAUCCUUGUUUGCCAGCGAGUAAUGUCGGGAACUCCAGGGAGACUGCCGGUGAUAAACCGGAGGAAGGUGGGGACGACGUCAAGUCAUCAUGGCCCUUACGAGUAGGGCUACACACGUGCUACAAUGGCGCAUACAGAGGGCGGCCAACUUGCGAG